Molecule: small nucleolar RNA, 123 nt
Organism: Ochotona princeps (American pika)
Lineage: Eukaryota; Metazoa; Chordata; Mammalia; Lagomorpha; Ochotonidae
Gene: SNORA74
Rfam family: Small nucleolar RNA SNORA74
About the family: U19 belongs to the H/ACA class of snoRNAs. snoRNAs bind a number of proteins (including dyskerin, Gar1p and Nop10p in the case of the H/ACA class) to form snoRNP complexes. This class are thought to guide the sites of modification of uridines to pseudouridines by forming direct base pairing interactions with substrate RNAs.
Source: Ensembl
UCCAGCUAUAGACAGCUGCCUAGGUUGUACUGUACCUGGGCAAGUGUUACACUGCUGGGAGAAAAGCAGCUAAGAGCUGGCAGGCAUUCUGAGCCUGGUUAAUGCCAAGUUUAUGUGAACUAU